UGCGGAGGAUGCGAGCGUCAUCCGGAUUUAUUGGGUUUAAAGGGUGCGUAGGCGGACUGUCAAGUCAGCGGUAAAAUUGAGAGGCUCAACCUCUUCCCGCCGUUGAAACUGGUGGUCUUGAGUGGAUGAGAAGUACGCGGAAUGCGUGGUGUAGCGGUGAAAUGCAUAGAUAUCACGCAGAACUCCGAUUGCGAAGGCAGCGUACCGGCAUCCAACUGACGCUGAGGCACGAAAGCGUGGGGAUCAAACAGG
RNAcentral lists this ribosomal RNA (252 nucleotides) under uncultured bacterium. Its description in RNAcentral is "partial 16S ribosomal RNA". It matches the Rfam family "Bacterial small subunit ribosomal RNA", at positions 524 to 776 of the family's 1533-position model. The record is from RNAcentral.